Molecule: non-coding RNA, 6689 nt
Organism: Nelumbo nucifera (sacred lotus)
Lineage: Eukaryota; Viridiplantae; Streptophyta; Magnoliopsida; Proteales; Nelumbonaceae
Source: RefSeq, a predicted model, not a curated record
CUCUCUGUUCCUGGUUCAUCCUCUCCCUGCUUUGGACUUUCUAUUCUAGCUCUUUUUUGGUUAUCUCUUGGGCUUGUCGCAUUAUCAGCUUCAAAGGUUAAAGCUCUCUUAGCUCGGGCCAACACUUUUGCUUUGGGCCUAGGAUUAACCAUUUUAUCCUCUAUCGGGGUAAGCCCAUCAAUAUUCAUUGGGCUUGGACUAUUCUCCACAAAUAUUGGAUUUGUUUGUUGGCUAACACCACUAUCCACGUGUUCAGUAGAUAACACUUCCUUUUUGUCGGUAUUCUCAUUUCGUUGGGUGAUGACAAGCCCGUUUGGAAUGAACUUAGUAGACUUGUCUACCUCGGACAAUCUCAAGGAAACCUCAUACUGGUGUAGUUGCUGAGAAGCCUUUCCAUCUGCUGGGUUUGUCUUUUCUCUGAUCAUGACAGGCUUUUCCUGUAGAAUACUUUUCCCUUUGUCCACAGAGCUCUUCAUUUGUAGAGUCGAGUGACUGCCUGGUUGUGUAGAAUUAGGUCGGCUUUCCUGGUUUUUAGCUGUAGGCCUAGGCUCAUUCCUCAAGAAUCUGUCCUUACACUCACCGUUGUGGCUUCCAUGUUCUUGUACCACACCAUUUCCGGCCGGCGAGUUCACCGGAGACGUUUCCAUCGGAGAGGGCCAGCUCGAUCAUCUUGAAGUUUCUCCUCCCAGGCGACUGCCACUAUUCCUUCCUUUGGAUCUAUUUCCUUGCCACCCUAAUCGUUUGUCCACCAAGGAGAAAUAUAUCUCGGUUUCUUCGGGGGGUUGUGGGUUGACUUGGAGCGAAUAGACAGGGUCCAUAGACACCCGGUCCCGGUUUUGAAGCUACUUCGAACCUAAAUGGUUUACCUUUAGCUUUUGCCCUUUCUUCAUUCUCAAACUUCUUGAGGCAUCGCUGUUCUUCAUGACCUAAUUUGCCACAGUAGAAGCAGAGCGCCGUGAGUCUCUCAUAUCUGAAGUUGAACCAGUAAGAUUGUCCUAAUUUUGUGGUUCCCCUUGCUCCUAUAGCUAGCGGUUUUGUGAUGUGAUGUCCACUUCGACCUGGAUUCUCAUAAAUCUCCCCAAUUGGUGUUUGUUCUCCCUAUCCUCAUCGAGAGGGGUUCSUGUAGCUUCUGCUAGGCGUCUCCCUGUUCUCUAAUUUGCCACAGUAGAAGCAGAGCGCCGUGAGUCUCUCAUAUCUGAAGUUGAACCAGUAAGAUUGUCCUAAUUUUGUGGUUCCCCUUGCUCCUAUAGCUAGCGGUUUUGUGAUGUGAUGUCCACUUCGACCUGGAUUCUCAUAAAUCUCCCCAAUUGGUGUUUGUUCUCCCUAUCCUCAUCGAGAGGGGUUCGUGUAGCUUCUGCUAGGCGUCUCCCUGUUCUAAAGUUCAUACAGUUAAUUGGGAGAUCCAAGAUGUGCAUCCAGAAGUUGCAUUUGUUGAAGUUUAGAAGGCUAACUGGGAUAUUCGGGCUCCAUUCCUUUAGAACAAAGGGGAAGCCUUUGAUGGACCACGGUCUCUCCUCCCAGAUCGUCUUUUUAUCAAGUCCAUGUUUGAACUUGAUGAUCAUUAUUUCAUUGGUAGGGUCAUGGAUGGUGAAUCUUCUCAUCGUGUUCCAAGAGGUGUAGAUUGCUUCAUUGAUACUAGUAGCAACAUUCACUGAUUUGUGUGAGGAGAAAAUCUAUGAUAUGGAAAAGAUAUGGUAUGGAAAGAGUUUUGACCAAUCAAAACCCACCCAUGAAUUUUGAUAAAUGAACCCCUGUCUGAGAUAAGUUUGCCUAGGAGGCAAAGCUUGCCUUCUUCUUUUCCUUCAUCUUCUUCAUCCAGCGGGACUUCGUGAGUUGGGAUGUUUAGUUUUUCUUGAAUCAUACUCUCAAUCUCUGAAAUGUCAGAGCUGGGUUCACCUUCCUCCAUAGGUAGCGAUCACGAUGGAAAAAACACCUACACUGCGGAGCAACCGGUUCAAUCGGCGGAGAAACCUUCACGGCAGAGAGGUUCAAGAACGGUAACUGACUUAUUUUGUUAUAAUUGGCCAACAGCAACUUGAACCCACAAUGGCCUGAUUAGAAGUCAGACGCCUUAUCCAUUAGGCCACCCACGGGCGCCCUUGUAUCAGAGGUGAAAUUUCAGAAUAAAAGUCUUCUUGGUUUUCUCGACAUGUAAUGCCCUUUUCUCCAGUUGCCGUACUGCAACCAGUGAGUAACGAGAGUGAAAUUUCCUCUCCGAUUGCGAUCGACACUGGAACUGGCUGCUGAGACCUAUAUUUCGACGUAGAUCAGCUUCGUUACCCAUCCUGCACAUCUACCCCUCAUCUCCUCGCUUGCGUCGGUCAACGCUUUCAUGCUUCCUUUCAUAUUCGAGACUCCUCUUCGUCUUCGGGCUUCGUGCUCUCCUGGUCCUGGAACAAGGUUGCUUCUCUCUGUCUCUUUCUACUUGGUUGUGAUACUGACAUUGGAUUCAAGACAAACUAAUUGUAAAUGCGAGUGUAAUGUAUUGCUUGUAAAUGUGGUUGAAAUGACCAACUACAAAUUUGGGUUACCUGAAAUUUCCGGCCUCAAGUCAAAAUUAAAAGUUUUCCUGUCGAGCCAAAUUAGCCAAUUAACCUACUUGUAUGUAGUAGUGAUUGAAUGUAUGUUAUUACAAGAGGUUCAUCCAGGAGGGACCAUGCACUGUUGGGAGGUGAAUUUUCUCAUCUUUCUCAUCCCUUGUCAUGCAAAAUGCUAGUGCUUAGAGAGAAAAAAAUAUACUUCGGGAUUUCUUUUUUCUUUGUUCUAAACUUCUAAAUUUCAAAUAUAUAGUUUUACCCAACAGGUUCCAACUUGCUACUUAGGCUAGUUUUGUGUGACAAUAAAUCAUUUUUAAUUUCCAUUGCAGAGGAUGGAUGCAAUGGAAACUUCUAGCUUGACCCAAUACGGAGUCAGGAUUGAAACGGCUGAUGUAUUGCUUUUAGUUCCCCCUACCCUAAUGCUUAAUGCUUUUAGAUGACACAGAUUGGUUUGGCCACCAUCAUUGCAUCCUUACCACAAUCUAUUAGUACCUUCGUCUUAGCAUAAUCAUUCGGUUAACCCAUUCUCUCUUCUUCUUCUAUGUCAGCUCACCUUCCUUAUAGCUUAUCCCCUCGUCUCUAUUUGCUGCCCGUCCCAGGUCCAAUAACCACUUGAACUUACCUUCCAGAAUUGGCUCCUCCCCACCCAGUUAGAUUAAUCCCACAAGAUUCCUCCAGUUGUACUCUAGAUUGCUUCUUUGGUCCAUAGGCGGAGAAGGACCUGGUCCAAUCGAAGAAGGUCCCACCGUCAUCUAACCAAUUAAAGGCCACCAGUUGCUCAUACUCAUACUACUCUAAUGAUAUUGGCCUCAACCUCCUUGAUCCCAACCUUUCCCCUUUCCCCUUUCCCAAUGAUUCCACUGCUAGGGAUGAAUGAUGAAUCUUCCACAAUUGUUGAACCUACCCUCUCCCAUAUAACAUGCCAAUUUGAUGAAAUUAGAAUGUUCCCAAGGGCUUUUUGUUCAGACGCAUUUUAUCUAAAAAUAGAUACUUGUGAGAUCCUUCAAAACAGAAGAUCUACUUUAUGUAAGAUAAAUUGUGGAAAAUAAUUUUCACUUAUUAAUCUUUUAUUCAGACGCAUUUAUAUAUAUAUAUAUAUAUAUAUAUUCUUAUUACGACCGGGUGUUUAGGAAUGUUCCCUUUUCGACAUGUAUUACGUUUGAAUGACAACACGUGUCCCUUCCAUUUGAUUCUCCCCUUCUUUGUCUUAUCCCUGUCUUCCCUCCCUUUCCAUUCACCCAUCUCAAGGAGAAGCUUGCUCGGCAAGCUUCGGAAUCUAACGGGUAAGACCUCUUGCUUGAUCCAACAUAGGGCUUCCUUUCCCCAUUUACCCUCAGUAAGCAAUAAAAUUCCAUUCGCACWGUAAACCAUGCAUUCAAAGGAUGAGUUGUAGUGCCUGAUUGACGCUCAUUGGAUUGCUGCUCGAUGUUACUUGAUGCUGAGUGACCCUCACUGAAGGCUCGAGGUGACUUGAUGAUGAGGCUCGCUGGUCGAGGUGAAUGGUGAGCUGAUUGAAACGUUGGCUCCGAUAAGCGAUAAUCUGGGCAGAUAGAAGGGAGCAAUAGGGAUAUGGCUUCGGUUGCCAUUACAUUCUUCCUCUCGCAACUCCUUAGAGAGAGAGAGACAGAGAGAGAGAGAGACAGAGGCGAUGGAUUCUCCUUGGGCAAGUGGAGAGGAAGAGAUCUUAGGCGAUUGGUUAGUUCAGGUGUAUGAGAGAGGGAGAAAGACAGAAGCAAUGGGUUCUCCUCGAAGCGACACACUUUUUUUUAUCUAUCGAGGAAUUGUUGCAUCUACUCUCGCUGUUCAACCAAGCUGGAAUUUAUUUUAAUGAUCGAACCAAAGGAAAGGAUGUAAGCAAUGAAGGAUUUAUAGCAUCUUAUAGUUCUUAAACAGCAGUUUGCAUUCUUUGUUGAUAAAAGUGGUGGGUGAUUGUUUGCCCGAGUCAUUCCGUUGCAGGUGUUUAUUUUUGUUGUAUUUAUCUGCUUUUUUAUUUUCUUUGCUUUAAAGGCCGAGGACAAAGGGGAUUUUCUAUUUGAGUUUCAGCAAUGCCCACUCCACAUCUCUCUUUGUACAAAAACUACGAAGCCACAGAUUUUUUUUAAGGAAAAGGAAUUAAAAAUAAAAAGAAACCCUAAGCUUCAUUCUUGACGAAGGAAACGGACGAAACCUAUAAUUUGCAAAUGUGUUCUUUUGCAGAGAAGUUCUUUGUUGGUAUAGUUCUUCAUGAAGCAGGCUCUCAGAAACAAGAGGAUUAUCAUCCUCUCCUUCCUUUCUAUAUCCGUUCUUGUCCCGAUUCACUGCUUCUUUUGGUAUUAGUGUUUAAAGAUUCAUAGUUUUUGUUUCCCUUCUUUUUUCUUUUAAUUUUAUUUUUUUUCCUACUGUUUUCAUCGUUCUGUUUUUGCAGCACACAGGGGAUUUGGGUCCAGCAGCUCUCUCUCUUUCUCUCUCUCUGUAUUUUGGGUUUGUUUCAACUGAUUACUCGUUACUUCAUAUAUUUAACUAGUUAGUGGGAUUGGGAUUGUAUUGUACUUCAGGAAACAGGUGAAGGCUUGAAAGAGCCGACAUUAGUUGUGUACAAAGAUGGGGAUUUUAAUUCUGUAGAUAGAAGGAACUCUUCUGAUCGAGAGGAUCCUGUAUUCGCAAUCAAAGUGCUUGUUCCAGUACAAAGUUGAUCUCGUGGUUAACGUUGGUACUGUCAACAAUGUUUCUUGCUGUUAAACAGUCCAACUCAAAUCCUCAGACAUCAAUGAAUGCACAAGCUUCCGUAUCUAGGAUCAUGCACUAUUGUUAACAUCACCACUGGGCAAAUAUAUGUAAAUGGACAGAUGAAAAUAUUGAUACAGGAAUUGUUGCUGUAUCUCUGAUUCCUUGCAGUGAUGUACUGAAUGCUUCAUACUUCAGUCUUGCAUGUGGAAGCAAAUCAAUGAACUUCACCACUGGGCAAAUAUAUGUAAAUGGACAGAUGAAAAUAUUGAUACAGGAGUUGUUGCUUUAUCUCUGAUUCCUUGCAGUGAUGUACUGAAUGCUUCAUACUUAAGUCUCAGAGCAUGCUUGUGCCCCCAGUCCCUUGCUUAUUCCUAGUUUUAAGCUAUCUGGGGUCUAGGGGACGUGUAGACCGGAUAUGGUCCUAAGGCCUAACCUUUGGCCUUUUCUUGCACAAAGUUGCUAGUCUCAGAUUUGAAUCUGUGUUCUCAUGCUUAUCAGCCUGAGAUUUCACCAUUGCACCAACGAACGGCCCCAAGUUAUAUGUUAAAGGUGAAAGAAAGUGAAUCCAUAGCAAACAUUGUAUUUGCAAUUAUAUUAAUUAUUCAUUUAUCUCAUGCUUGUGUGAAUAGUCAUUAUUCAUUUUGUCCCAUUAGGAUCCUUCUUGUAUAGUUGCAUUUUCAAGAGUUGAAUAUUUUCUGAAAUUAUUUCCUUAACCAAUUAAGGGGUUCUUUGGCAAAUUGGAAAUUUUCUUUGCUUUUUGGUCCAUGUUGCAUCCGCAAAAACAGGAAGCUCAUUUGAUUUUCUGGUUUCUAAAAAGCAAAGGGAUUUUUCAAGACACCCCCCCUUUCAAAACUGACAAACUUGCUUGACACCUCAGAAUUGGUUACUAUUACAACUUAAUCAUUGCUGACUAUAAAAUGAUAUUCUUGCUAUGAUUUUAAAUGUUCUAUUCUUGGCAAAGCCUGAUAUGAAGCUGAGAACCUUUUUAACAUGAUCUUAUUUGCUCAAGAUACCAUUCUUUUAUGUUCUUCAAGGCUUUAACAUUAUCUAUUGUGUUACUAUUUUGUUGGGUUUCCACCUACUAAACCUCAGUAGUUUUUCUUUAGUUUAUAUUAUCUGAUUGAAGAAUGGCAUUUGAUUCCUCGGUUUCCUUAGGUGAUACAUCUUUUGGUAUAAUGUGCUGAAGGUGGUCUAUUAUUUUUCUAUUUUUCUUCUUUGCUAAGGUGUCAUCUUUGUUGUCAAGAAAAUUGCAGGUACCAUUGAUACAAUCUUAUUGAUGUGCAGUGAGUCAAGGUGUUAGCCUACAGCUAAGCAUUUUAGCCUUUCAAGGCAAGUUAUGUCCUAGGCUAUGACAUGACAAGGCGUCAUUGAUACAAUCUUAAGCAACUAGAAUGAAAAUGCGUCUGUCAAUUUUCAGAAAAAGAUAUAUAGAUGUUGAGCUGAACA